Molecule: ribosomal RNA, 475 nt
Filed under: uncultured bacterium
Lineage: Bacteria
Description: SSU rRNA
Rfam family: Bacterial small subunit ribosomal RNA
Source: RNAcentral
AGGACGAACGCUGGCGGCGCGCCUAACACAUGCAAGUCGAGCGAGGACCAGGACUUCGGUCCUGGGGAAAGCGGCGAACGGGUGCGUAACACGUGAGCAACCUGCCCCGAAGACCGGGACAAGCCGGGGAAACCUGGUCUAAUACCGGAUGUCCUCACCGGAUCGCAUGGUCUGGUGAGGAAAUGGAUUCCGCUUCGGGAUGGGCUCGCGGUCUAUCAGCUUGUUGGUGGGGUAACGGCCUACCAAGGCAACGACGGAUAGCUGGUCUGAGAGGACGAUCAGCCACACUGGGACUGAGACACGGCCCAGACUCCUACGGGAGGCAGCAGUGGGGAAUCUUGCGCAAUGGGGGAAACCCUGACGCAGCGACGCCGCGUGCGGGAUGAAGGCCUUCGGGUUGUAAACCGCUUUCAGCAGGGACGAAAUUGACGGUACCUGCAGAAGAAGGCCCGGCCAACUACGUGCCAGCAGCCGC